This is a long non-coding RNA of Labrus mixtus (cuckoo wrasse), 2487 nucleotides long. RefSeq lists it as uncharacterized. The record is from RefSeq and is a predicted model, not a curated record. NCBI's taxonomy places the organism in Eukaryota, Metazoa, Chordata, Actinopteri, Labriformes, Labridae. The transcript is spliced from 4 exons.
CACAAGAAGACGAGAAGAGUUUUCACCAGCCCUCAGUCAAAAAAACGGUCAGUCUAAAAUAACCUCAGCGUGAGACAUCACACCUCUGUGAAGCGAGUAUAUCACGACAUAUGAUUGAAAUAUUUUUGAGCUGAGAUUGGUGAAAGAAAGCGGAAAGAAAAUGAAACACUUCUACGUGAUCAUCACAGCUCUGGCAGCAACAGCUCUGGCACAAGGCUCUAUUGAAUGUAAUUUCACUGAAGCUACUGGAACUCAGCAAUGUUAUGGAGCGGUGGGACAACUGUUGGUUUUUCACCUGCCAAACACUGCAGAUACAGAUCUCCAGUGUCAAAGCCAGCUGUUUCUCAGAUGUGUUCGUCAGAACAGAUCAACAUCGGCUGCUCCUCUGAGGGAGAUGGAGUGGAGUUCCGUCUGACUUUAGUUGACGAUCCUACUAAAAUCCUCAUUUUGACUGUUCUUCAACUUUGUCUAAACAAAACCAAUCAAAUAUAAAUUCUUGAAUUAAAACAUUCAGUUAUUAACUUUUAUUUGACAACAAGUUUGAAGAACAUAGGGUGCUGGUUUAGCUCAGUUAGCAGAGCAGGUGUCCCUAAAAACAAUAGUUAUAUUUAAUCACACAUUCAUCUUUUGCCUGCACUGGUAUGAGAUAUAUAAAAGUUGUUUUCCUAUCUUUGAAAUUGAACAUGUUUUUUUAUGUCUGUAAGUGGCUUUGAUUAUAACAAGAUAAGCAAUGACAGGGAUGACAAGUGUACAAUGAGUCUUCUUAAACGUACAAUAUGUAGAAUUGUAUGACAAUGUUGACACUAAAAUAUCUAAAUUUAUUUAAAAAUUGACUAAACCUGUGUUAAAUAUAUAUAUUUUUUGUUGGGUAUUUACAUUACCUCAAAUAUUUCCAACAGUUAUCCAAGCCAGAGAAAUCUGUAAUUUUAUAGUUGUAACGUGACGUGUUUUGUCGAGGCGGCCACCAUGAUGAGCCGCCAUGAGAAUGUUUAUCGUUACCGUGGAAACACUGGAUGUUACGUCAAAGCCCGCUACAUGAGGAAGCAGGUAUUCCUACUGAAAGCCGUCGUACUGUUGCUGUAUUUGCUGUUUUGAUAAAAACGUCAUGUAUUGGGGGGUAAAAGAUGUAAGAUAAAUCUCCCAUGAUUUCCCGCCAGCCUCAACGUCAUCUUUUGUUAUUGUAGUAUUGAUUGAGAGCUCCCUGGCGGCUGAAUCUACAUAUUGUAUUUUUAAGAAUCAUGUAUUAUUGGUCAUUUUAGACAUGGACACUUUCUUCUGGUGUCCCCUUACUAGGAUUUUGAUUGUUCAGAUUUAUUUUAUCGCAACAUUUAGUCUAGUGACAGGUAUGCCGCAUCCCUUUAUUGGCCAACGUCUGUUUUCAUGAGAUUACUUAUCACUUAUAUAACCAACUCACCCGUUUACAGCGUCAACAAGGCCUUGUCGCUUCAGCUUCAGGAAGAAAAAGUCCCUCUUUGAGCAGAAGGAGUAGGAGGAACUGAGGAAGAAAGAGGGAGAUGAUGAGGAAGGUUUAACAGAGUGCAAUGGGUGAGGACUCUGGGUGCGUGGUUUUCUGUAUCAACUACUCACUCUCACAUCAUUAAAUACUCCUCAGCGUACACUGUAGUGCAGUGGUUCUCAAACUAUGGUACGCAUACCACCGGUGGUACGCAAAGAAAUCUCCACAAUAUAAAAAAAACCCCGUUCAGCAUAAAACGCCAUUUUUUUAUUUUAUUGUCAUACUCUUAUCUGUCUUGUAUCUAUUUGGUUGUAUUUCAAAUGUGUUUUCCCUCUAAAUUAAUCUAGUUUUUGCAACAAACAACUUUAAUCUGCUCAAUUUAUGCUCAUGCACAGACAUAAACAACAGGAGUACGCCUCGCGUUUUGAAAAGUUCCACUUGAUAUUCCGUUUCUGUUAUUUAUUGAAGUUCAGCACACAAUCUGCAGCAAGCAGCUGUACAUUAACAUUUUUUAAACGGAGCCAGGAGAAGCUUCAGUUUUGAUGCAUGUACGGACAGCGGACCUUAUCACUGCCCCUCCCUCUAUCUCUAUCUCUCUCUCUCUAGCUCUGAAGAUGAUGUGAUUCUGCUCUGUUUUGAGGUCUUAACUCUCCGUAGGAGUCGAGAGGGAUUUUUUUUAAAAAGGCAGUUUUGCUAUGUUGAACGCAGAGACUUAUAAUAAAGCGACGUUGUUUGCACCGAGCCUGCGGAGUGCGCGCCUGCACUCUCACGCGCUCUCUCUCUCUCAGGCACGCAGCAAUUUUAUGAAUAAAUGAAAAAUUAAAUGAGAACAGGUCGGAAAUAUACUUGGGCCCAGGUAUCGUGUUUGUGUGGGAAACACUGGAGACUAAAUAUUUCUAAACAGGUUGUUGGUAUAAAGUUGUCAUUUUUAAUGUUCUGCACUUUUGUGUGUGCAAGUUCUAGCACUAGCCCUUAGUAGUCCUACAGUGUGGCUGCCAGCAGUCAAUAAUAAAUAAUAUUCUUUUUAUGAA